Long non-coding RNA from Brassica rapa (field mustard), 1223 nucleotides. RefSeq lists it as uncharacterized. The record is from RefSeq and is a predicted model, not a curated record. NCBI's taxonomy places the organism in Eukaryota, Viridiplantae, Streptophyta, Magnoliopsida, Brassicales, Brassicaceae.
AUAAUUUAAACACAAAAAUAUAUCAUCUAAUAUAAUAUUUAAAAACAUUAUUUAUAUCUUAUGAUUAACUUCAAAACUAAUAAAUAAUUCAAGAGGUGAGACUGAAUUAAAAUAUAUAUUUUACUAUAAAUAUACAUAUAUAUAUAUAUAUAUAUAUAUUGGCAUAUUAUCAAAUAAUUACAAAAACAUCUUAAAUGGCAUGAACCAAUUAUAUAGACAAAGAAACAUAUCCAAACCAAAGUUGAAAUGUUUAGCAUAACUAGUCAGUUUAAAUUGUUAUUAUCAUUGAAUAAUUAAUUUUAUAUAAUUUUAUUUUUUGUUUACAUAAAUGCUAAAUUAAUUUUAAUAUCUAAUCAUAUUUUAGCAUAAUUAGAAUUUAAAUUGUUAAUUUUUGGAUUUUUUUUUAAAGAUCUUUUUUAGAUUUUUUAAAAGAAUAUUCAGCUGUAUUUCAAAUAAAAAUGUAAAGAUAUUGAAAGAUAUUAAAAUUUUAUACAGUUUCUAAGAAAUGGUCCAAAUAAAAAAAAUCACACAUAAGAAAAAUGGACUUCUAUUUUAAUAGAUAAGAUGUGGAGAAUAUGGUAAUAACGUUGACAUUUUUUCAACAAAAAAAAACUAUAUUCUUUGAUAGCUCAUAUGACUUUUUCAGGUUACUGCAUGUGAUUAAAUUAAGAUUUGAACAAUAUAUUUACUUUGACCAAAUUUACAAAAUAACUUAAUUGGUCAAAUAUAUAAAUGAAUAUCCCAAAUUUGCAUGUAUCGAAUAGAAGAUCAAUUAAAAUCAAAUCAAAUAGAAAUGGAAAUUUGUGAUUUUCCACGACUAAAACUUAUAUAAAUAGAGCUUUUCUACAAGACAUGAAAAAUUAAGGAUAUUUCUCUUGCUAGAUAUUUUAUACAUAAGAAAGAUUAUGGCGAAGACACAAAAUUUGGUGAUUUUUUCUCUUGUUGUGAUAUUAGCAGCUACAAUAUUUAACACCAACAUUUUGGUUUCAGGUGUGGAGCAGGAGAAUAAAAUCAAGUAUACUUACUGCGCUAAGACUUUAUGCUCGGACAGCUACUUACCUCAUAUGUGCUUUUUUGAUUGUACUACUAAAGGGUUUGAAACCGGAACUUGUAUAGUUCCUACUCCUAAUACUCCCUUAAGAUGUUGUUGUGGUACCUUGUAGCCAUCAUCUACCUAAUAUAAUCUGCCUAAUAUAAUAAAAUGAUUUAAGAGCUUCGUUUUU